GACGAACGCUGGCGGCGUGCUUAACACAUGCAAGUCGAACGGUGAAGCGCUUUCCUUUUUGGUUGGUGUGGAUGAGUGGCGAACGGGUGAGUAACACGUGAGUAACCUGCCCCCUUCUUCUGGAUAACCGCAUGAAAGUGUGGCUAAUACGGGAUAUUCUGCGCCUGCUGCAUGGUGGGUGUGGGAAAGAUUGUGCCUUUGGGUGUUUUCGGUGGGGGAUGGGCUCGCGGCCUAUCAGCUUGUUGGUGGGGUGAUGGCCUACCAAGGCGGUGACGGGUAGCCGGCCUGAGAGGGUGGACGGUCACACUGGGACUGAGACACGGCCCAGACUCCUACGGGAGGCAGCAGUGGGGAAUAUUGCACAAUGGGCGCAAGCCUGAUGCAGCGACGCCGCGUGAGGGAUGGAGGCCUUCGGGUUGUGAACCUCUUUCGCCAGUGAAGCAGGCCUGCUCCUUGUGGGUGGGUUGACGGUAGCUGGAGAAGAAGCGCCGGCUAACUACGUG
Molecule: ribosomal RNA, 503 nt
Filed under: uncultured bacterium
Lineage: Bacteria
Description: partial 16S ribosomal RNA
Rfam family: Bacterial small subunit ribosomal RNA
Source: RNAcentral